GAACUUACCUAGCAGGGGAGACACCAUGAUCACGAAGGUGGUUUUCCCGGGGCGAGGCUUAUCCAUUGCACUCCGGAUGUGCUGACCCCUGCAAUUUCCCUUAAUGUGGGAAACUGGACUGUGUAAUUUGUGGUAGUGGGGGACUGCAUUCGUGGAAAA
Non-coding RNA from Myotis davidii, 159 nucleotides. The record is from Rfam. Lineage: Eukaryota; Metazoa; Chordata; Mammalia; Chiroptera; Vespertilionidae.